Molecule: ribosomal RNA, 253 nt
Filed under: uncultured bacterium
Lineage: Bacteria
Description: partial 16S ribosomal RNA
Rfam family: Bacterial small subunit ribosomal RNA
Source: RNAcentral
GACGUAGGGCGCGAGCGUUGUCCGGAUUUAUUGGGCGUACAGAGCUCGUAGGCGGCUCGUUGCGUCGGCUGUGAAAACCCGCAGCUCAACUGUGGGCUUGCAGCUGAUACGGGCGGGCUGGAGUUCGGUAGGGGAGACUGGAAUUCCUGGUGUAGCGGUGAAAUGCGCAGAUAUCAGGAGGAACACCGGUGGCGAAGGCGGGUCUCUGGGCCGAUACUGACGCUGAGGAGCGAAAGCGUGGGGAGCGAACAGG